This 327-nucleotide ribosomal RNA is filed under the name uncultured eukaryote. Its description in RNAcentral is "partial 18S ribosomal RNA". It matches the Rfam family "Eukaryotic small subunit ribosomal RNA", at positions 1470 to 1796 of the family's 1831-position model. The record is from RNAcentral.
CCCUUAGAUGUUCUGGGCCGCACGCGCGCAACACUGAUUCAUGCAACAAGUUUUGUCCUUGGCUGAUAGGCCUGGGUAAUCUUUGAACGUGAAUCGUGAUGGGGAUAGAUGAUUGCAAUUAUUCAUCUUCAACGAGGAAUUCCUAGUAAACGCAAGUCAUCAGCUUGCAUUGAUUACGUCCCUGCCCUUUGUACACACCGCCCGUCGCACCUACCGAUUGAAUGGUCCGGUGAAAUCUUCGGAUCUGAGAGAUGUCUGAUUAAUUUCGGACGCCUUUUGGAAAAGUUGCUUAAACCUUACCAUUUAGAGGAAGGUGAAGUCGUAACA